This 76-nucleotide transfer RNA is filed under the name Castellaniella caeni. RNAcentral's name for it is "tRNA-Lys(ctt)". It matches the Rfam family "tRNA". Rfam says of the family: Transfer RNA (tRNA) molecules are approximately 80 nucleotides in length. Their secondary structure includes four short double-helical elements and three loops (D, anti-codon, and T loops). The record is from RNAcentral. Lineage: Bacteria; Pseudomonadati; Pseudomonadota; Betaproteobacteria; Burkholderiales; Alcaligenaceae. RNAcentral also lists the same sequence under 6 other names.
GGGUUGUUAGCUCAGUUGGUAGAGCAGCGGACUCUUAAUCCGUCGGUCGACAGUUCGAGCCUGUCACAACCCACCA